GUGGUAAUGCCGGAUGCUCCAUCACACCGCAUGGUGUGUUGGGAAAGCCUUUGCGGCAUGGGAUGGGGUCGCGUCCUAUCAGCUUGAUGGCGGGGUAACGGCCCACCAUGGCUUCGACGGGUAGCCGGCCUGAGAGGGCGACCGGCCACAUUGGGACUGAGAUACGGCCCAGACUCCUACGGGAGGCAGCAGUGGGGAAUAUUGCACAAUGGGCGCAAGCCUGAUGCAGCGACGCCGCGUGAGGGAUGGAGGCCUUCGGGUUGUAAACCUCUUUUGUUAGGGAGCAAGGCAUUUUGUGUUGAGUGUACCUUUCGAAUAAGCACCGGCUAACUACGUGCCAGCAGCCGCGGUAAUACGUAGGGUGCAAGCGUUAUCCGGAAUUAUUGGGCGUAAAGGGCUCGUAGGCGGUUCGUCGCGUCCGGUGUGAAAGUCCAUCGCUUAACGGUGGAUUCGCGCCGGGUACGGGCGGGCUUGAGUGCGGUAGGGGAGACUGGAAUUCCCGGUGUAACGGUGGAAUGUGUAGAUAUCGG
This 530-nucleotide ribosomal RNA is filed under the name Bifidobacterium breve. RNAcentral's name for it is "bacterial SSU rRNA". It matches the Rfam family "Bacterial small subunit ribosomal RNA", at positions 160 to 700 of the family's 1533-position model. The record is from RNAcentral. Lineage: Bacteria; Bacillati; Actinomycetota; Actinomycetes; Bifidobacteriales; Bifidobacteriaceae.